AAUCUAUAAAAAUUGUUUUGAAAACAAUUAAUAGUUGAAAUUUCAACUAUAGAUUU
This 56-nucleotide transfer RNA is filed under the name Grandidierella rubroantennata. Its description in RNAcentral is "tRNA-Ser". Lineage: Eukaryota; Metazoa; Arthropoda; Malacostraca; Amphipoda; Corophiidae. The record is from RNAcentral.